UACGUAGGGUGCGAGCGUUGUCCGGAAUUAUUGGGCGUAAAGAGCUUGUAGGCGGUUGAUUGCGUCAGAAGUGAAAUCUCAGGGCUUAACCCUGAGCGUGCUUCUGAUACGGGUUGACUAGAGGAAAGUAGGGGAGAACGGAAUUCCUGGUGGAGCGGUGGAAUGCGCAGAUAUCAGGAGGAACACCGGUGGCGAAGGCGGUUCUCUGGACUUUUCCUGACGCUGAGAAGCGAAAGCGUGGGGAGCAAACAGG
Molecule: ribosomal RNA, 253 nt
Filed under: uncultured Aestuariimicrobium sp.
Lineage: Bacteria; Bacillati; Actinomycetota; Actinomycetes; Propionibacteriales; Propionibacteriaceae
Description: partial 16S ribosomal RNA
Rfam family: Bacterial small subunit ribosomal RNA
Source: RNAcentral